Molecule: unclassified non-coding RNA, 350 nt
Filed under: Hevea brasiliensis (rubber tree)
Lineage: Eukaryota; Viridiplantae; Streptophyta; Magnoliopsida; Malpighiales; Euphorbiaceae
Source: RNAcentral
GGAGGGAUGUGGAGGAUGAUGAUUCGUUUGUUUUCAACGAGGGAUUUACUGCUCCUCUGUAUCGUAUAAAGCUACAUAUGUUUGUUAUGUUGGUAUAUGCAGUGGCUAUUUAUCUGAUUGUGUUAAGCUUUUGCAUAAAUAUUGUUAAUGCCAAAAGUGACCAUGGUCAAAUGCUUUACUCACUUUAAAAGCUUCAGUAUCUUCAUCACUCUAAAUUAAUUACUUAGAAAGGUUGUGGUUAACCUGCAUGCAUUUUUUUUUGUCGAUCAUAUUUUAGAGCUUGAAGCUAACUGUCAUUAGGGGAUGCAGGUCAAUGCAAUCCAGACGAAGGAAACUGUAGAGGAGAACAC